CUUAGAGUUUGAUCCUGGCUCAGGAUGAACGCUAGCUACAGGCUUAACACAUGCAAGUCGAGGGGAAACGACAUCGAAAGCUUGCUUUUGAUGGGCGUCGACCGGCGCACGGGUGAGUAACGCGUAUCCAACCUGCCCACCACUUGGGAAUAACCUUGCGAAAGUAAGACUAAUACCCAAUGACGUCUCUAGAAGACAUCUGAAGGAGAUUAAAGAUUUAUCGGUGAUGGAUGGGGAUGCGUCUGAUUAGCUUGUUGGCGGGGUAACGGCCCACCAAGGCGACGAUCAGUAGGGGUUCUGAGAGGAAGGUCCCCCACAUUGGAACUGAGACACGGUCCAAACUCCUACGGGAGGCAGCAGUGAGGAAUAUUGGUCAAUGGACGAGAGUCUGAACCAGCCAAGUAGCGUGCAGGAUGACGGCCCUAUGGGUUGUAAACUGCUUUUAUAAGGGAAUAAAGUGAGCCUCGUGAGGCUUUUUGCAUGUACCUUAUGAAUAAGGACCGGCUAAUUCCGUGCCAGCAGCCGCGGUAAUACGGAAGGUCCGGGCGUUAUCCGGAUUUAUUGGGUUUAAAGGGAGCGUAGGCCGGAGAUUAAGCGUGUUGUGAAAUGUAGACGCUCAACGUCUGCACUGCAGCGCGAACUGGUUUCCUUGAGUACGCACAAAGUGGGCGGAAUUCGUGGUGUAGCGGUGAAAUGCUUAGAUAUCACGAAGAACUCCGAUUGCGAAGGCAGCUCACUGGAGCGCAACUGACGCUGAAGCUCGAAAGUGCGGGUAUCGAACAGGAUUAGAUACCCUGGUAGUCCGCACGGUAAACGAUGGAUGCCCGCUGUUGGUCUGAAUAGGUCAGCGGCCAAGCGAAAGCAUUAAGCAUCCCACCUGGGGAGUACGCCGGCAACG
RNAcentral lists this ribosomal RNA (898 nucleotides) under uncultured bacterium. Its description in RNAcentral is "bacterial SSU rRNA". It matches the Rfam family "Bacterial small subunit ribosomal RNA", at positions 1 to 893 of the family's 1533-position model. The record is from RNAcentral.